RNAcentral lists this ribosomal RNA (410 nucleotides) under uncultured microorganism. Its description in RNAcentral is "bacterial SSU rRNA". It matches the Rfam family "Bacterial small subunit ribosomal RNA", at positions 509 to 917 of the family's 1533-position model. The record is from RNAcentral.
CAGCCGCCGCGGUAAUACGUAGGGGGCGAGCGUUGUCCGGAAUUACUGGGCGUAAAGGGCGUGUAGGCGGCCUGUUAAGUCAGGGGUGAAAGACCGGGGCUCAACCCCGGGGGUGCCUCUGAAACUGGCGGGCUUGAGUGCUCUAGAGGGCAGUGGAAUUCCCGGUGUAGCAGUGAAAUGCGUAGAGAUCGGGAGGAACACCAGUGGCGAAGGCGGCUGCCUGGGGGGUCACUGACGCUGAGGCGCGAAAGCUAGGGGAGCAAACAGGAUUAGAUACCCUGGUAGUCCUAGCCGUAAACGAUGAGCGCUAUGUGUGAGGGGUAUCGACCCCCCUCGUGCAGGAGCUAACGCAUUAAGCGCUCCGCCUGGGGAGUACGGCCGCAAGGUUGAAACUUAAAGGAAGUGGCGGG